GUCUCCCGCAUUGCAGGAGGAUUCUUUACUUUCUGAGCCACCGAGGAAGCCCAUAUAUAUGUGUGUGUGUAUAUAUAUAUCUACAUCUUUUCUCUUGAUCAGAAGUUCGCAUGUGGUAUCCGAAUUAGCAGCGCCAGUUUCCCCCGAGAAAAUGUUAGACAUGCAGAUGGUGGGGCCUCAUCUAGAUCUACUUGAAUCUGAACUCUUGAGAGUGGGAUCUGUGGUUCAACAACCCCUCCAGGUGAUUCCUAUCCACGAUCAAGUUCGCGAAGCACUUGUAAGCUCACUCAAGUGGUGUAGAUGGUCAUCUUUAGGUUUGGCGGAGGAUGUGUCCUGGGUCGCUUUGGGCAGUAGGGAUAAAGUUGCGCAGGUCCCCUCCACCUCUCCCCCUCUCCCCCUAGCCUCUCCCAGCACCUGCAACUCCACUUCAGCUCUUGGCCUCGGGUCCUUUCCCCCGGGAGCCGCAGUCAAAACGCGGCAAGUGGAUUCGGAGUCUGCCUGCCAGAAUGCCGGCCGGGCAUGCGUAGUGGCGCCAGGGCAGCAGCUAGGCUGGCGCGACUGGGGAGCCGCAGAGCAGACUUGCGUGUGCCGGGAUCCGGAGCGGUAGCUGAGGGCUCAAGGGCAGAACGGCGGCUGCAGGUACGCUGCGCGGUGAGGCGGAGGGGAUCCGAGAGAAAGCCUGGACCGAUAGGCAGAAAACAGAGCUUUACUUCCUCGCCGGCUCGGCGGCUCCAGAGGAGUCUCUGCGGGUUUCCCUCGCUGGAGAGGUGUCUCCGGCGCCCGCCGACCUCCGGUUACUAUGGAUAAUGCUGCUAUGAACAUUUGUGAACAAGUUUCAAUGGGACACGUGUUUUCAUUUCUCUUGGGUAUAUACGUCAAAGUGGAAUUGCUGGUUCACUUGAUGACUCAACAGUAAACACUUAGAGGAACUGCCAGACCAUUUUCCAAGUUUCCUCAGGCUUCUCUGGUGGCUCAGUGCUAAAGAAUCUGCCUGCCAGUGCAGGAAACAUGGGUUCGCUAUCUGGUGAGGGAAGAUCCUGCAUGCUGUGGAGCAGCUGAGCCCAUGUGCCACAACUAGUGGGUCUGUGCUCCAGAACCCAGGAACUGCGACUACGGAAGCUCACCUCCCACAGCUACUGAAGCGUGUGUGCCCUGAGCCCAUGCUCUGCAACAAGAGAAAAGCCCAUGCAGCAGUGAAGACCCAGCAGAGCCAAAAAUAAAGAAUAAAUAAAUUUUAAAAAGUUAAAAAAAUUUCCUCAUUAAAAGGGAGUCCUCAGGUUGGGGCUAUUCUGGGGAAAGGUGUCACCAUGCACAACAAACUAACUUUAUUAUCAUUUUUUUUUCAAACUAACUUUAAAAAGCAUGUUGAUUAAAAAAAAAUGUGAGUGCACUUGGGAAUUCCUUGAAUUCUGUGCAAUAAACAUUUUUAAAACAAAAAAACAGCAAAAAAAAAAAAAAAAGACCCUAGCUGGGCUGCAUAGAUUGGAGCAGCCCCUCUUGUUCUCUGUCUGAAAAUGGUUCUCUGUUGUUUGAGAACAGCUCUUAAGCACACAGGAGAGCCCCACCUCAGGCUCUUUAUGUUGACACCAUGUUCACUCAUCAAAUGUUUACUGAACACAGUCUGGGCCAGGCACUGAGCUAGGCCCCACAGCCUCUGCCCUCAUAGAAACAGCAGUCUAGACCAAAGGUUGGCAAACUCUGUAAAGGGACAGAUAAUAAGUACUUAUCUGGGUUAUGGUCUCUGUCUCGACUACCUAAUUCUGCUCAAAAGCUGUUGUAGACAGGAUGUAAGUGAAUGAGCUUGUCUGUGUUCCAGUGAACUUUAUUUGUGGGCACUCACAUUUUGAUUUUUUACUGUCACAUGUCACAAACUAUUAUUC
Molecule: long non-coding RNA, 1880 nt
Organism: Bos taurus (domestic cattle)
Lineage: Eukaryota; Metazoa; Chordata; Mammalia; Artiodactyla; Bovidae
Source: Ensembl